This 460-nucleotide ribosomal RNA is filed under the name uncultured bacterium. Its description in RNAcentral is "partial 16S ribosomal RNA". It matches the Rfam family "Bacterial small subunit ribosomal RNA", at positions 338 to 795 of the family's 1533-position model. The record is from RNAcentral.
CCUACGGGGAGCAGCAGUGAGGAAUCUUGGUCAAUGGGCGCGAGCCUGAACCAGCCAAGUAGCGUGAAGGAUGACUGCCCUACGGGUUGUACACUUCUUUUAUAAAGGCAUAAAGUGAGGCACGUGUGCCUUUUUGUAUGUACUUUAUGAAUAAGGAUCGGCUAACUCCGUGCCAGCAGCCGCGGUAAUACGGAGGGUCCGAGCGUUAUCCGGAUUGUUUGGGUUUAAAGGGAGCGUAGAUGGGUUUUUAAGUCAGUUGUGAAAGUUUGCGGCGCAACCGUAAAAUUGCAAUUGAUACUGGCAGUCUUGAGUACAGUUGAGGGAGGCGGAAUUCGUGGUGUAGCGGUGAAAUGCUUAGAUAUCACGAAGAACUCCGAUUGCGAAGGCAGCUUACUAAACUGCCACUGACAUUGAUGCUCGAAAGUGUGGGUAUCAAACAGGAGUAGAUACCCGUGUAGUC